UUCGCCCUUCGGCCGCUGCAGAGUUUGAUCCUGGCUCAGGACGAACGCUGGCGGCGUGCCUAAGACAUGCAAGUCGAGCGGGGUAUACGGUACGGCUUGCCGUAGCGGAUACCUAGCGGCGAACGGGUGAGUAACACGUGGGCAACCUACCCGCGAGGCCGGGAUAACAGUGGGAAACUGCUGCUAAUACCGGAUAUUCUUCAGCUGUUGCAUGGCAGGUGAAGGAAAGGUGGCCUCUGCAUAGCAAGCUACCGUUCGCCGAUGGGCCCGCGUCCCAUUAGCUAGUUGGUGAGGUAACGGCCCACCAAGGCGACGAUGGGUAGCCGGCCUGAGAGGGUGGUCGGCCACACUGGAACUGAGACACGGUCCAGACUCCUACGGGAGGCAGCAGUCGGGAAUCUUGGGCAAUGGGGGAAACCCUGACCCAGCGACGCCGCGUGGAGGAUGAAGGCCUUCGGGUUGUAAACCC
This 469-nucleotide ribosomal RNA is filed under the name uncultured delta proteobacterium wpd_25. RNAcentral describes it as "bacterial SSU rRNA". It matches the Rfam family "Bacterial small subunit ribosomal RNA", at positions 1 to 432 of the family's 1533-position model. Lineage: Bacteria; Deltaproteobacteria. The record is from RNAcentral.